GAUGAAGAACGUAGCGAAAUGCGAUAAGUAAUGUGAAUUGCAGAAUUCAGUGAAUCAUCGAGUCUUUGAACGCACAUUGCGCCCCCUGGUAUUCCGGGGGGCAUGCCUGUCCGAGCGUCAUUGCUGCCCUCAAGCACGGCUUGUGUGUUGGGCCCCCGUCCCCGGUUUCCCCCGGGGACGGGCCCGAAAGGCAGCGGCGGCACCGCGUCCGGUCCUCGAGCGUAUGGGGCUUUGUCACCCGCUCUGUAGGCCCGGCCGGCGCCAGCCGACACCCAACUUUAUAUCUAAGGUUGACCUCGGAUCAGGUAGGGAUACCCGCUGAACUUAAGCAUAUCAAUAAGCGGAGGA
RNAcentral lists this unclassified non-coding RNA (348 nucleotides) under soil metagenome. RNAcentral describes it as "partial contains 5.8S ribosomal RNA, internal transcribed spacer 2, and large subunit ribosomal RNA". The stretch from base 1 to 120 matches the Rfam family "5.8S ribosomal RNA", at positions 35 to 154 of the family's 154-position model. The record is from RNAcentral.